UGGCGGACGGGUGAGUAAUGUCUGGGAAACUGCCUGAUGGAGGGGGAUAACUACUGGAAACGGUAGCUAAUACCGCAUAACGUCGCAAGACCAAAGAGGGGGACCUUCGGGCCUCUUGCCAUCGGAUGUGCCCAGAUGGGAUUAGCUUGUAGGUAAGGUAACGGCUUACCUAGGCGACGAUCCCUAGCUGGUCUGAGAGGAUGACCAGCCACACUGGAACUGAGACACGGUCCAG
This 235-nucleotide ribosomal RNA is filed under the name uncultured bacterium. Its description in RNAcentral is "partial 16S ribosomal RNA". It matches the Rfam family "Bacterial small subunit ribosomal RNA", at positions 96 to 334 of the family's 1533-position model. The record is from RNAcentral.